This 314-nucleotide ribosomal RNA is filed under the name Gastrothylax sp. 1 AC-2021. RNAcentral's name for it is "partial large subunit ribosomal RNA". The stretch from base 44 to 314 matches the Rfam family "Bacterial large subunit ribosomal RNA", at positions 2049 to 2606 of the family's 2925-position model. RNAcentral also lists the same sequence under 1 other name. The record is from RNAcentral. Lineage: Eukaryota; Metazoa; Platyhelminthes; Trematoda; Plagiorchiida; Gastrothylacidae.
GACUAGAUAAAGGAGAAAUGGGAAAGGUGUUUGAAAUUGGAUAUUUGGUGCAGAUUCCAAAGGUAGUUAGUGGGACGGAAAGACCCCGAGAGCUUUAUAUUAGGAUAUUUAUUUGGGGCAGAGGUAAAUUUUUUAUUUAUUUUUUGAUCCUUGUUGGGGUAGAAGGUAUAAGUUACCUCGGGGAUAACUAGGUAAGAGAUAAGGAGAGGUCAGAUCGAUUUAUUUAUUUGCCAUCUCGAUGUUGAUUUAAAGUAAUAUGAGGGCGCAGAAGUUCUUGUAUAUGGUCUGUUCGACCAUAGUGCUUUUCAUGAGCU